GAAUCACCAAAACUGAAUGAAUGAAUGAGAAUUGUUCUCUCAGGCUAGUGGAAAUUAAGUGUGAUAAACUCAUCAGGAAAAAAUGUAGGUUGGGUGUGACGGAGAAACUCAUGUUUUAUACCGUGGUGACAUCUUGAUUUCUGGUUUUGGCAUGACAGACUGUGUGGUCUCAGUGAUAUUGUACCAUCCUGGUUCCUGCUUUCAGGCUGGAGUCACAAGCUGGACUUGGAAGAAGCAACUUUCGGGCAGAGAUGUAACUGCAGAGUUAAUACUAUGCCAGGGUCUUGGGUUAUCUCAUGCAACCUUUCUGUGUUGACUGCUCUGUGUUAGUUUUGCUCAGACAGAAGGUAGAGCCCACAGGUGCUCCUCAGCUCUGCCUUGGGAUGACACCAUGAAGCAAUGAGGUGACAAACCGGUUUCCUUUCUCAAGCCAAAUGUCACGUAACUGCCCAGGGGCCCGUUUUGGUGGGGGUUGCACCCCCUGACUUUUCAAGGAGAGAUAUGCUGCUGUGACCCAUCCCCACCCUGUACACCUUGCUGAAGGAGAUAAAACUGCUCACUUCCACCUCUGACAUUUCUCAGCCAGGAAGAAAGGCAGGAGGCAUCAGGAUGUAGGGGGAUAUCUGAGCAGCCACCUGACAUGCUGACAAAGAAACCUCCAAAAUCCAUCAAGUGGAGAUGAGUUCCCAGGGCUAGAGCAAGCUGAUAUAAAGGAUGAUGGUACCCUUAUACCCACCCAAAAAUUUUACUACUCCUAGACGGGGCAGCAGACAAAUCCGUCCAACCCCAAAUGCUCUGCAGUUGAUAGAUCUGCUUUAGUGAGGAGGGCCCCAGUCAGUGAUGAGUGUUGUAGGAGAAUGCAUGCUGCAGCAUCAGUAAAGUCCAAAAAGCCCAAGGAGCAGUGCAGAACAUCUGUUGCCAACAAGAAAAUAGUAUGUGAAAAGCUGUUGUAAUUCCUGGCUCCAGCAGCCUAACUGGAGGCACAGACUUCCCAAGGCAGAGAGGACU
Molecule: long non-coding RNA, 1008 nt
Filed under: Manacus vitellinus (golden-collared manakin)
Lineage: Eukaryota; Metazoa; Chordata; Aves; Passeriformes; Pipridae
Description: lncRNA (ENSMVIG00005012247.1)
Source: RNAcentral